UGUAAGCGUAUACCAAAGUUGUUGCAGUUAAAACGCUCGUAGUCGGAACUUGGCAGUUCCGGAAGUGUGCACGUCGUGUGCGCACUUUGCAGGGACUGCUUUUGUGGUCUUGCGUAGGAUGAGGCACUUUUAUUAGUGAACGUCCUCACGCAACCACUCUUUACUGUGAGAAAAUCAGAGUGCUCAAAGCAGGCAUUUGCCGUGAAUGUAUUAGCAUGGAAUAAUAGAAUAGGACUCGGUUCUAUUUUGUUGGUUUGUUGGGACUGAGUAAUGAUUAAGAGGGACGGUUGGGGGCUUUUGUAUUUCGGCGCUAGAGGUGAAAUUCUUAGAUUGCCGAAAGACAAACUGCUGCGAAAGCGUCUGCCAAGGAUGUUUUCAUUGA
This 382-nucleotide ribosomal RNA is filed under the name uncultured eukaryote. Its description in RNAcentral is "partial 18S ribosomal RNA". It matches the Rfam family "Eukaryotic small subunit ribosomal RNA", at positions 592 to 976 of the family's 1831-position model. The record is from RNAcentral.